AUUGAACGCUGGCGGCAUGCCUUACACAUGCAAGUCGAACGGCAGCACGGGUGCUUGCACCUGGUGGCGAGUGGCGAACGGGUGAGUAAUACAUCGGAACAUGCCCUGUAGUGGGGGAUAGCCCGGCGAAAGCCGGAUUAAUACCGCAUACGAUCUACGGAUGAAAGCGGGGGACCUUCGGGCCUCGCGCUAUAGGGUUGGCCGAUGGCUGAUUAGCUAGUUGGUGGGGUAAAGGCCUACCAAGGCGACGAUCAGUAGCUGGUCUGAGAGGACGACCAGCCACACUGGGACUGAGACACGGCCCAGACUCCUACGGAAGGCAGCAGUGGGGAAUUUGGACAAUGGGCGAAAGCCUGAUCCAGCAAUGCCGCGUGUGUGAAGAAGGCCUUCGGGUUGUAAAGCACUUUUGUCCGGAAAGAAAUCCUUGGCCCUAAUACGGUCGGGGGAUGACGGUACCGGAAGAAUAAGCACCGGCUAACUACGUG
This 485-nucleotide ribosomal RNA is filed under the name uncultured bacterium. Its description in RNAcentral is "partial 16S ribosomal RNA". It matches the Rfam family "Bacterial small subunit ribosomal RNA", at positions 30 to 507 of the family's 1533-position model. The record is from RNAcentral.